CCUACGGGAGGCAGCAGUGGGGGAUAUUGCACAAUGGGGGGAACCCUGAUGCAGUGACGCCGCGUGGGUGAAGAAGCGCCUCGGCGCGUAAAGCCCUGUCAGCAGGGAAGAAAAUGACGGUACCUGAAGAAGAAGCCCCGGCUAACUACGUGCCAGCAGCCGCGGUAAUACGUAGGGGGCAAGCGUUAUCCGGAUUUACUGGGUGUAAAGGGGGCGCAGACGGCGAUGCAAGCCAGGAGUGAAAGCCCGGGGCCCAACCCCGGGACUGCUCUUGGAACUGCGUGGCUGGAGUGCAGGAGGGGCAGGCGGAAUUCCUGGUGUAGCGGUGAAAUGCGUAGAUAUCAGGAGGAACACCGGCGGCGAAGGCGGCCUGCUGGACCGCGACUGACGUUGAGGCUCGAAAGCGUGGGGAGCGAACAGGAUUAGAUACCCCUGUAGUC
Molecule: ribosomal RNA, 440 nt
Filed under: uncultured bacterium
Lineage: Bacteria
Description: partial 16S ribosomal RNA
Rfam family: Bacterial small subunit ribosomal RNA
Source: RNAcentral